This 1209-nucleotide long non-coding RNA is filed under the name Canis lupus familiaris (dog). RNAcentral describes it as "lncRNA (ENSCAFG00040024188.1)". Lineage: Eukaryota; Metazoa; Chordata; Mammalia; Carnivora; Canidae. The record is from RNAcentral.
UCUUCAUCGAUCUUCGCCCCCUUCCCCACGCGGGGCCCCAUCCCCCCGCCGCCGCCGCCGCCGCCGCCCAGACCGGAGAGGGCUGGCAUAGAAAGGGAGAAAAAAAAAAGAAAAAAAAAAAAAUCGAGCGGGGCUGAGCUCGCCGCGCGCGGAAGGAGCCGGGAAGGCGAGCGGCGCGGGCCGGAGAGUUGCCGCUCGCUCGGGCCGCGGGCGGAGAGGUGGCGGCGCCCGCGGGGGCGGGGGCGGGGUGCGCGGUGGGCGUGGGGUGCCGGGGGGCGUGGGUCUGUGGCGGAGCCGGGGACAGGCUGCGCGCGGGAGGCGAGGCAGGGCGCUCGGGGGCGCCGGGCCGGCGCGCACACCCGCCCGCGGCCACCCCGCCUCGCGCUCCGCCUCCUCCCGCGCUCCGCGCACCCGCGGGCUGGAGGGGCCGCCGCCGCCGCCGCCGCCUCUGCUCCUCCACCUCCUCCACCGCCUCCACCUCCUCCUCCUCCUCCUCCCCCUCCUCCUCCUCCUCCUCCCGGGCGCUCGCGGCUCCCGAGGUGGGCGGCGGGCCCGGAGCCGUGCGCUCGGCCUGGGACAGCGCCCCCGAGCCCAGGGCGCGGCCGGGCGCCGCCCACACCUCGCCGGCGCCUCCCUCUCCCGGGGCGCGCCCGCCGCUCCCCCGGGGCCCGGCCCAGCUCCACACCCACCUGCUUGGCUCCGGGGCUCGCGCUCCGCGGGGCAGGAGGGUCCGCGCCGGGCGGGCGCCGCGCACCCGGCGGCGGGGAAAGCCCGGGGCGCCCCGCCGGCAGGCGCUGGGGCGGCUUCGCGGGAUUCCCUGGGCCACGCCCGCCCUUCCGCGACCCGGGCCCGGGGCAUCUUCCCCGCGGGGAGGAGCCCCCGCCGCUGCGUGCCGGGGCCCGGGGCAUCUUCCCCGCGGGCGGGGGGCGGGGGGCGAACCCGGAGCGCAGAGGGGACCUGACUUUCCUCCCGGCAGCUCCAGCUCGGUUCGGGGGCCGUACCGGUCCCCGCAGCCCCUCUGCCCUGGGUUUGGGGGCAAAGGCGGGUGGCUCGGUGGCAGCCUCAGCUCCCGCCUCCCACGGGGGCGCUCUUCGUACUCCGGCUUGCUGGCUUUUGCCCGCUCUCCCUGCGAGCUGGAGAAUUUGUGCCAAGUUCCUCCUUGGCGAGGCCGCCUGGUGGACACCCAGACCUUCCCCUACCUUGGAGCCG